GAUGAACGCUGGCGGCGUGCUUAAUACAUGCAAGUCGAGCGAACAGACCAGGAGUUUGCUCCUUCGACGUUAGCGGCGGACGGGUGAGUAACACGUAGGUAACCUACCUAUAAGACUGGGAUAACUUCGGGAAUCCGGAGCUAAUACCGGAUAAUAUUUCGAACCGCGUGGUUCGAUAGUGAAAGAUGGCUUUGCUAUCACUUAUAGAUGGACCUGCGCCGUAUUAGCUAGUUGGUAAGGUAACGGCUUAUCAAGGGAACGAUAGGUAGACGACGUGAGAGGGUGAUCGGCCACAUGGGAAGUGAGACACGGUCCAUGCUACUGCGAGAGGCAGCAGUAGGGAAUCUGCCGCAGUGGGCGAAAACCUGACAGAGCGAGGCGGCGUGAGUUAUGGAAGUCUUGGGAGCGUAAAACCCUGUUAUUAGGUAAGAACAAACUUGGACGGAACCGAGGACGGCGUGACGGUAACGAGUAAAAAAGCAACGGCUAACUACGUG
Molecule: ribosomal RNA, 497 nt
Filed under: uncultured bacterium
Lineage: Bacteria
Description: partial 16S ribosomal RNA
Rfam family: Bacterial small subunit ribosomal RNA
Source: RNAcentral